Molecule: small RNA, 144 nt
Filed under: Flavobacterium sp. 9AF
Lineage: Bacteria; Pseudomonadati; Bacteroidota; Flavobacteriia; Flavobacteriales; Flavobacteriaceae
Description: Flavo-1
Rfam family: Flavo-1 RNA
Source: RNAcentral
AUUUAGCCGUGAUAGCAGUGGAAAGCAAAUCGUUUCCAAAUGAUACCUUUACUUAUAAAAAAAGAGCAACUGUAAAGAAGCUCCUUUUUUUAUGUAGUAAUGUAAUUUGGAAACGAUUUCUUGAAUCGGAUAGCGCGAAAAGCU